AAUUAGACUUUGAGUGAUCUUGAGCCUU
This 28-nucleotide non-coding RNA is filed under the name Cricetulus griseus (Chinese hamster). The record is from RNAcentral. Lineage: Eukaryota; Metazoa; Chordata; Mammalia; Rodentia; Cricetidae.